GAAGAACAAUUGGUGUGUCCACUACAAAUGCUGGGUCCACAUCAUCCAGCAGUUCUGCUCCAACAGGAGGGUCAACAACAAUCGGUGGGUCAUCAACAGCUGGAGGUUCAACCACAAGUCGUGGGCCAAUGACAACUGUAGCAUCAAUGACACCUGGUGGGUCAACAAGUACUAUUGGAUCCAGUACAAAUGCUGGGUCAACAACAACUGGCAGUUCUGCUGCAACAGGAGGAUCAACAACAAUUGGUGGGUCCACAACACCUGGAGGUUCAAGCACAAGUCGUGGGUCAACGACAACUGGAGCAUCAGUGUCACCUGGUGGGUCAACAACAACUAGAGGUUCAACCACAAGUCGUGGGCCAAUGACAACUGUAGCAUCAAUGACACCUGGUGGGUCAACAACAACUGGCAGUUCUGCUGCAACAGGAGGGUCAACAGCAAUCGGUCUGUCCACAACAGUUGGAGGUUCAAGCACAAGUCAUGACAACAGCUGUGUCCUUUGGUCAACUGAGGGUCACCACAGCUGGUCCUUUGGUUCCAACUGAUGGAUCAGUUACAUCUUUAGGAACAACUAGUCCUGGUGGAUCAGAUGGUGCAGUUACCACAACUCCCCCACCAGUUUUUGUUCUUGGAGCCACCCUGGAAGAACCAUUUGUUGAAGAAUUCAAUAAUCCAAGCAGUGUACAAUACAGAAAUCUUGAAAUACAAAUUGUAACAGUGUGUGACAUCAUCUACAGAGCAAGAUAUGGGUUUCUUUUCAUCCGCACUUUUGUCAUUAGAUUUCGUCGUGUUGUAGCAAGGACACGCAUGGAAACCACUCAAGCAGAUAUCGGACUCGAGUUCAACAAUACAGCUUCACCAAAUCAAAUCCCACAGGCUAAUAAUGUUGUAAAGACUUUACAACUUGCCUUGAUGAACCCAAACAACACCUUCAACCUCACUCUUGAUACAAACUCCAUUGAGAUCAUACGAACUCCAAAUAUGACAUCAAGUUCAACUACAGCUACUGCUGCAUCGACUACUGCUGUAACAUCAGUUGCUACAACUAAUAUGCAACUCAUAAAACGGAGGUUGACUUUCAGAUCUGCUGGAGAAACAUUUACAAGCGACUUGCUGAAUCCAGCAUCUUUAGCAUUUAUAAAUCGAGCUGCAAUGAUAAAGUCGAUGCUCGAACCUUUCUACCAAAAAGCAUUCUCUUCAUUCAGAUCAUUGACAGUGAUUUCAUUCAGAAAUGGAUCAAUCAUCAACACAAUGGACCUUGGAUUUGCAUCCACCUCUGUUCCUAAUGACACUCAGAUUGCAGAUGUUCUGGCUGGAGCAGCUUCAAAUAUCACAGCCUUCAACAUUGACACCACCUCCAUUAUUGUGGAUGGCAUACAGGUCUCAAGUGGAGUAAGCCACAAGAUCAGUUUCAUCACUGCGUCCUUCCUUGUGCUGCUGUCAUGGCUACUGUCAAGCCAGCAAUUGCUUAUGUGCUGAUGUCCCUGUGGAACCCCAUGAGAAAGUAACUGCUAUCAAUGAUAUGAAAAAUGAUUUUCUUGUCAAUAAAAAUUACACUUGUGAGAAUUUCAAUUUCUAAAUGACUUGGGAAAAACUGUCACUUAUUACAUUUAAACUUGGGGUAACCUGACACAUAAAUGAAAGGGAAUUUCUAUUCAGUCUUGACUGCACACACCUUGAUCCAAUGCAACCCUCCAGGUCCAUUCAUCAUGUGGCCAACUUCAAGCACAUGGUAAUAACUUCUAAAAUAAUUACUGUAAACGAAAUAGACUUAGGGCAAUUAAACCAUAUUACAUUGAUGACCCCAUGCAUAAUAUUUUCUGUACAUGUUAACAUUUAAAUGAUCGACUACCAUGUGCUAUAAUCAUAUUUAGAACCAAUGUGUAUUUCACUCAACAUGCCUAAAUCCUACUGUAAUCAAAAUUGUAGAUGUUUGGCAAGCUUAAAUUGUUCCCUCAAUCCAAAUUGCCUAAAAAAUAUAUUCAGACCAUUGAGGAAUUUGACUUCAGAAUGAAGUCUUUAAGAUCAGUUGCUUAGAUAGUAAAGUUGACAAUCUUACUUAUAUAAAAUGUAAUGGUGUGCUCAUUGUUCUAACCCUAACUCAGAUAUAUGCUGAAGGUUGUGUCACGCAUUAAUGCCUUGUAUCAGAAGAAUAAUGUCUUGUAUAAUUAUCCAUUCACAGUCCUUAUUAACUUGUAUUUCUAUUAUAUAUAUGAGUAUUCUGAGAGCUUACCUUUAUUUCUUUUUUUGUGUAUUUUUUUGUGUAUUUUCUUCCUAAUAUACAUACGAAUAUGAAGAUGACAAAAAAUCUGUUUAUGCUGUAACAUUUUACAAUCUUAAUGUGGUGAUGCACAGCAUUUUGAAGAUAAGGUAUGUGGAGGAAAAAAAUGUUUUCUAUUAAAGGCAUAUGUAUAAACUACCAAACCUUCUGCAGUCCCUCAUUUCCUAAUUUUAAUCUUACACUA
Dicentrarchus labrax (European seabass) is the source of this 2465-nucleotide long non-coding RNA. The record is from Ensembl. Lineage: Eukaryota; Metazoa; Chordata; Actinopteri; Moronidae.